Molecule: ribosomal RNA, 616 nt
Filed under: Nocardiaceae bacterium
Lineage: Bacteria; Bacillati; Actinomycetota; Actinomycetes; Mycobacteriales; Nocardiaceae
Description: bacterial SSU rRNA
Rfam family: Bacterial small subunit ribosomal RNA
Source: RNAcentral
GGGGAUGCUCAGGCGUCGACGGGUAGCCGACCUGAGAGGGUGACCGGCCACACUGGGACUGAGACACGGCCCAGACUCCUACGGGAGGCAGCAGUGGGGAAUAUUGCACAAUGGGCGAAAGCCUGAUGCAGCGACGCCGCGUGAGGGAUGACGGCCUUCGGGUUGUAAACCUCUUUCAGCAGGGACGAAGCGCACGUGACGGUACCUGCAGAAAAAGCACCGGCUAACUACGUGCCAGCAGCCGCGGUAAUACGUAGGGUGCAAGCGUUGUCCGGAAUUACUGGGCGUAAAGAGUUCGUAGGCGGUUUGUCGCGUCGUUUGUGAAAACCAGCAGCUCAACUGCUGGCUUGCAGGCGAUACGGGCAGACUUGAGUACUGCAGGGGAGACUGGAAUUCCUGGUGUAGCGGUGAAAUGCGCAGAUAUCAGGAGGAACACCGGUGGCGAAGGCGGGUCUCUGGGCAGUAACUGACGCUGAGGAACGAAAGCGUGGGUAGCGAACAGGAUUAGAUACCCUGGUAGUCCACGCCGUAAACGGUGGGCGCUAGGUGUGGGUUCCUUCCACGGAAUCCGUGCCGUAGCUAACGCAUUAAGCGCCCCGCCUGGGGGGUACGGCGG